This is a long non-coding RNA of Polypterus senegalus (gray bichir), 365 nucleotides long. RefSeq lists it as uncharacterized. NCBI's taxonomy places the organism in Eukaryota, Metazoa, Chordata, Cladistia, Polypteriformes, Polypteridae. The record is from RefSeq and is a predicted model, not a curated record. The transcript has 3 exons.
UGUAUUUAACUCCAGACAAUUCUGUAACUGUGUCUGGGGUGUGCUCUUUCUGUGCUGCUUGCUUGAAAACCUCAACAGAUUUUAUCUUUUUCUACUGUUUUAAGAAACAGAAAGGUUCCUUCUACAGUGUUUACUCCAGAAGUUUGAUGCAUUUCAUCCACAAUUGUGGGGAAGCCUGCUUCUGUUUCUUUCUCAUCAUUAGACAAGUCAAUACCAUUGCAUUUCUUUUCCUUUCCAUUUUCUGCAUUAUUGGAAUGUGACCUGUUUUGGAAUUACAUGCAGCUUAACUGACUGCAUGAUGGCCUGGUACAACAGCUGCACCAAGGCUGCUAAAGAAGCCCUGCGGCGGGUCGGCCAUUAUUGGG